Molecule: ribosomal RNA, 943 nt
Filed under: uncultured archaeon
Lineage: Archaea
Description: bacterial SSU rRNA
Rfam family: Archaeal small subunit ribosomal RNA
Source: RNAcentral
UUCCGGUUGAUCCUGCCGGACCCUACUGCUAUCGGGAUGGGACUAAGCCAUGCGAGUCGUGCGCCUUCAAGCCAUGAUGGAGGCGCGGCAUACGGCUCAGUAACACGUGGUUAACCUAACCUUGGGACGGGGACAACCCCGGGAAACUGGGGCUAAUCCCCGGUGGGUGAGGGGGCCUGGAAUGGUUCCUCACUGAAAGGGCGUUGGAAUCAUGCUUUCCGGCGUUGCCCAAGGAUGGGGCCGCGUCCGAUCAGGUUGUUGGUGGGGCAAUGGCCCACCAAGCCUAUAACCGGUACGGGCCGUGAGAGCGGGAGCCCGGAGAUGGGCACUGAGACAAGGGCCCAGGCCCUACGGGGCGCAGCAGGUGCGAAAACUCCGCAAUGCGCGAAAGCGUGACGGGGCUAUCCCGAGUGCUGUCCGCUGAGGACAGCUUUUCCAUGGUGUAAGGAGCCGUGGGAAUAAGGAGAGGGCAAGACUGGUGUCAGCCGCCGCGGUAAAACCAGCUCUCCGAGUGGUAGGGAUGAUUAUUGGGCUUAAAGCGUCCGUAGCCGGCCUAGCAAGUCUUCCGUUAAAUCCAGCGAUCUAAUCGCUGGGCCGCGGGAGAUACUGUUGGGCUAGGAGGCGGAAGAGGCCGAUGGUAUUUCCGGGGUAGGGGUGAAAUCCUGUAAUCCCGGGAGGACCACCAGUGGCGAAGGCGGUCGGCUAGAACGCGCUCGACGGUGAGGGACGAAGGCUAGGGGAGCGAACCGGAUUAGAUACCCGGGUAGUCCUAGCAGUAAACGAUGCGGGCUAGGUGUUGGGGCGGCUACGAGCCGCUUCAGUGCCGCAUGGAAACAAUUAAGCCCGCCGCCUGGGGAGUACGGCCGCAAGGCUGAAACUUAAAGGGAAUUGGCGGGGGAGCACACAAGGGGUGAAGCUUGCGGUUUAAUUGGAGUCACGCGGA